Molecule: ribosomal RNA, 253 nt
Filed under: uncultured bacterium
Lineage: Bacteria
Description: partial 16S ribosomal RNA
Rfam family: Bacterial small subunit ribosomal RNA
Source: RNAcentral
UACGAACUGUGCAAACGUUAUUCGGAAUCACUGGGCUUAAAGGGUGCGUAGGCUGCUAUGAAGGUCAGGUGUGAAAUCCCACGGCUCAACCGUGGAACUGCGCUUGAAACCGCAUAGCUUGAGGGAGUCAGAGGUAAGCGGAACUGAUGGUGGAGCGGUGAAAUGCGUUGAUAUUAUCAGGAACACCGGUGGCGAAGGCGGCUUACUGGGACUUUUCUGACGCUGAGGCACGAAAGCCAGGGGAGCAAACGGG